Callithrix jacchus (white-tufted-ear marmoset) is the source of this 286-nucleotide unclassified non-coding RNA. It matches the Rfam family "Metazoan signal recognition particle RNA". From Rfam's summary of the family: The signal recognition particle (SRP) is a universally conserved ribonucleoprotein. It is involved in the co-translational targeting of proteins to membranes. Lineage: Eukaryota; Metazoa; Chordata; Mammalia; Primates; Cebidae. The record is from Ensembl.
GCUGCAUAUGUAGGCGUACCAGUAGUCCCAUCUACCAGGAAGGCUGAGGCAGGAGGAUCACUUGAGCCUAGGAGUUCUGGACUGUAGUGCUGAUUGGGUGUCCUAAGUUCCGAUUCAAUAUGGUGACAUUCUGGGAAUGGGGACCCUAGGUUGCCUAAAGAGGGGUGAACUGGCUCAGGUUGGAAAUGGAGCAGCUCAAAACUCCUGUACUAAUCAGUAGUGGUAUACCCUGUGCUAAUCAGUAGUGGUAUAUCCGAUGCUAAUCCAGUAGUGGUACAUCCCUUGC